AGCGAACGCUGGCGGCAGGCCUAACACAUGCAAGUCGAACGAACCUUUCGGGGUUAGUGGCGGACGGGUGAGUAACACGUGGGAACGUGCCUUUAGGUUCGGAAUAACUCAGGGGAAACUUGUGCUAAUACCGAAUGUGCCCUUCGGGGGAAAGAUUUAUCGCCUUUAGAGCGGCCCGCGUCUGAUUAGCUAGUUGGUUGAGGUAAUGGCUCACCAAGGCGACGAUCAGUAGCUGGUCUGAGAGGAUGAUCAGCCACAUUGGGACUGAGACACGGCCCAAACUCCUACGGGAGGCAGCAGUGGGGAAUCUUGCGCAAUGGGCGAAAGCCUGACGCAGCCAUGCCGCGUGAAUGAUGAAGGUCUUAGGAUUGUAAAAUUCUUUCACCGGGGACGAUAAUGACGGUACCCGGAGAAGAAGCCCCGGCUAACUUCGUG
This 435-nucleotide ribosomal RNA is filed under the name uncultured bacterium. Its description in RNAcentral is "partial 16S ribosomal RNA". It matches the Rfam family "Bacterial small subunit ribosomal RNA", at positions 29 to 507 of the family's 1533-position model. The record is from RNAcentral.